Molecule: ribosomal RNA, 497 nt
Filed under: uncultured bacterium
Lineage: Bacteria
Description: partial 16S ribosomal RNA
Rfam family: Bacterial small subunit ribosomal RNA
Source: RNAcentral
GACGAACGCUGGCGGCGUGCCUAAUACAUGCAAGUUGAGCGAUGAAGAUUGGUGCUUGCACCAAUUUGAAGAGCAGCGAACGGGUGAGUAACGCGUGGGGAAUCUGCCUUUGAGCGGGGGACAACAUUUGGAAACGAAUGCUAAUACCGCAUAACAACUUUAAACAUAAGUUUUAAGUUUGAAAGAUGCAAUUGCAUCACUCAAAGAUGAUCCCGCGUUGUAUUAGCUAGUUGGUGAGGUAAAGGCUCACCAAGGCGAUGAUACAUAGCCGACCUGAGAGGGGGGUCGGCCACAUUGGGACUGAGACACGGCCCAAACUCCUACGGGAGGCAGCAGUAGGGAAUCUUCGGCAAUGGACGAAAGUCUGACCGAGCAACGCCGCGGGAGUGAAGAAGGGUUUCGGAUCGUAAAACUCUGUUGGUAGAGAAGAACGUUGGUGAGAGUGGAAAGCUCAUCAAGUGACGGUAACUACCCAGAAAGGGACGGCUAACUACGUG